RNAcentral lists this ribosomal RNA (118 nucleotides) under uncultured bacterium. Its description in RNAcentral is "partial 16S ribosomal RNA". It matches the Rfam family "Bacterial small subunit ribosomal RNA", at positions 1367 to 1482 of the family's 1533-position model. The record is from RNAcentral.
UACGUUCCCGAGCCUUGUACACACCGCCCGUCACACCACGAAAGUCGGUAACACCCGAAGCCGGUGGCCCAACCCUUUUGGGAGGGAGCCGUCGAAGGUGGGAUCGGCGAUUGGGGUG